CAGCCGCCGCGGUAAGACGUAGGGGGCGAGCGUUGUCCGGAAUCAUUGGGCGUAAAGGGCGCGUAGGCGGUGACGUAAGUCAGGCGUGAAAGGCAUCGGCUCAACCGACGCACAUAGCCUGAUACUACGUUGCUAGAGUGCAGGAGAGGAGAGUGGAAUUCCAGGUGUAGCGGUGAAAUGCGUAGAUAUCUGGAAGAACACCAGUGGCGAAGGCGGCUCUCUGGACUGUAACUGACGCUGAGGCGCGAAAGCUGGGGGAGCAAACAGGAUUAGAUACCCUGGUAGUCCCAGCCGUAAACGAUGAACACUAGGUGUAGGGGGUAUCGACCCCUCCUGUGCCGCAGUUAACGCAGUAAGUGUUCCGCCUGGGGAGUACGGCCGCAAGGCUGAAACUCAAAGGAAUUGACGGGGGCCCGCACAAGCGGUGGAGCAUGUGGUUUAAUUCGAUGCAACGCGAAGAACCUUACCAGGGCUUGACAUCCCUCUGACGGGUCUAGAGAUAGGCCUUCCCUUUGGGCAGAGGAGACAGGUGGUGCAUGGCC
Molecule: ribosomal RNA, 542 nt
Filed under: uncultured archaeon
Lineage: Archaea
Description: bacterial SSU rRNA
Rfam family: Bacterial small subunit ribosomal RNA
Source: RNAcentral